AUGCUUGCUUUGCCAGCACAUAUAUCAAAAUUGGAGGAACGCAGACAAGAUGAGCUUGGCCCCUGAACAAAGAUGACAUGCAAAUUUGUGAAGAAUUCUGUAUCUUU
Small nuclear RNA from Mustela putorius furo (domestic ferret), 107 nucleotides. The record is from Ensembl. Lineage: Eukaryota; Metazoa; Chordata; Mammalia; Carnivora; Mustelidae.